RNAcentral lists this ribosomal RNA (200 nucleotides) under uncultured bacterium. RNAcentral describes it as "partial 16S ribosomal RNA". It matches the Rfam family "Bacterial small subunit ribosomal RNA", at positions 28 to 233 of the family's 1533-position model. The record is from RNAcentral.
GAUGAACGCUAGCGGCAGGCCUAACACAUGCAAGUCGAGGGGUAUAGUAGCAAUACUAGAGACCGGCGCACGGGUGCGUAACGCGUAUGCAACCUACCUUUUACAGGGGAAUAGCCCAGAGAAACUUGGAUUAAUGCCCCAUGGUAUAUUUGAGUGGCAUCACUUGAUUAUUAAAGUUCCAACGGUAAAAGAUGGGCAUG